AUUAUACAGUUUCAGUUUUCAGUGGAUAAACAAAAAAAGUAAACUCAUAAAGUAUAGCUCUCAACUUGACAAAAAAAGAGAUAUAUCUUCACAGCUAAUAUAGAAGGGGAUCAUUUUAUGGAAAUUUGCAUUUAUAACAUACAAAAAUAUUAUAAUUAGGUAACUAACCAAAAUAAAUAGUCCAAUGAUAUUGUGUGUAUUUCCUAUAUUUUAGACAUAACUGACCCUAAGAUAAAACCAAUCAACUCGCCGGUACCGAUUACAACGUCGUCACCACCACAAAGUCACUACCACCAUCACCGCCAUCAUCAUCACCACCAUCGUAAUCACCACGUCGUCACUACUAAAACCACCAGACCGUUACUAUUUAUCACGGAUAUCACCGACACCACGGCACCACCAUCAUCAUGCCCUUAGUCCCUCACCAUCACCAUCGCAACCACCACGGCACCACCAUCAUCCCCAUGAAAUCACCAUCAUCCCUAUGUCAUCACCAUCACAAAGCUAAGUCACCACCACCAUCACAACGUCAGCACCACCACCAUCACCACCACAAAGUCACCGUCACCACCACAACGUCAUCACCGCCAGUCCGCCACCAUCGUAACCACUACGUCGUCACUACCUAAAACCACCACACGUCCACACCGUUACUCUUUAUCAUGGAUAUCGCCGACACCACGGCACCACCAUCAUCCCCAUGUCAUCACCAUCACAAAGUCACCACCACCAUCACAACAUCAUCACUGCCACCAUCGUAACCACCACGUCAUUACUACUAAAAUGUCGUCAAAUUUUUGACAACAGAGGUUAAAAUCGUCAUUGACAAAGUCCAUAUGUUAUUCUCUUAAUUUCGCAAGUUAUAGUGCUAUAUCCUUAAAUAUUUUAUCAUAAAUGGUUAUUGCCUUAAUUCACCCAUCAUUUUAAUCUAAUAAGAUGAUAAGAAAAGAAAAGAAAAAACACCUAGAACACAC
This 974-nucleotide small RNA is filed under the name Arabidopsis thaliana (thale cress). RNAcentral's name for it is "ATSL116970". The record is from RNAcentral. Lineage: Eukaryota; Viridiplantae; Streptophyta; Magnoliopsida; Brassicales; Brassicaceae.